Zingiber officinale is the source of this 241-nucleotide long non-coding RNA. RefSeq lists it as uncharacterized. The record is from RefSeq and is a predicted model, not a curated record. NCBI's taxonomy places the organism in Eukaryota, Viridiplantae, Streptophyta, Magnoliopsida, Zingiberales, Zingiberaceae. The transcript is spliced from 3 exons.
GGAUAUGGUAGAUAUUAGAGAUCCACGUCAAUCCAAGAGGCUGAAGACUUCGGAUUCAAAGCAGCAAAAAACAACAAUGAUUCCAGGGAUAAUGCCUCUUUCAAAAGUUCCUGUGAGGAGAAGCCAGAAGCUAGGGGAUAAAAUAACAGCUCUUCAGCAGCUCGUUUCUCCCUUUGGAAAGACGGAUACAGCAUCAGUACUUCAUGAGGCAGCUCUUUCCAUCAAGUUUCUGCAUGACCAA